This 615-nucleotide long non-coding RNA is filed under the name Bos mutus (wild yak). RNAcentral describes it as "lncRNA (ENSBMUG00000006238.1)". Lineage: Eukaryota; Metazoa; Chordata; Mammalia; Artiodactyla; Bovidae. The record is from RNAcentral.
CUCUCUCCCUCCAGGACCUGGGAUGGCUGGGAGGGAGGAGCUGGGAUCCCCCCAGCCCCACUCCGGAGUUUCUCCAGGCUGUGUGGUUACCAGCAGCUGAUUUCUAAUAAUUUAGAUCUCCACUUCAGUUUAUGCUUUGAAGACAGAAAUUAAAAGAAACAAAGCCUUUGAAAGCAUGUUUUAUAAACUGUUUCUUGAAGACAUUUCAAAAGAAAACCAGUUGUAAAGAAAUUCUUUCCUUACCCUUCUUACCUCUUUCAACCAGAAACGGGGAAUUUCUCUUCCUUAUCAAACGUCACUGAGUUUCACCAUCCCGACACCAGAACAAAGAUGCUGCAGUGGAAAAAGAGAGGGCCCAGAAGGAUUCUUCAGCCCAAGGGAGCCCCUCCUUGGUUAUAACCUAAUUUGCUGUGUGCAUGUGGACCAGAUGGAUGGAAUUAAACCUUCUUGGGUGUCAUGGUUAAAUCAUUUUAAAAUGUCUGGAGACUCCUGGAAAUGUAAGAAGUCAUACUUCUCUUUCAAAGGAUCAUCCUCUUGUGGUUCAAAUGUGAGUUUUGAAACUGAAACUAUAACUCCUGUGGCUAUAGGGUGGGGUCUCUAUGUUUUCCUUUUUCC